GGUUAAGCGACUAAGCGUACACGGUGGAUGCCCUGGCAGUCAGAGGCGAUGAAGGACGUGCUAAUCUGCGAUAAGCGUCGGUAAGGUGAUAUGAACCGUUAUAACCGGCGAUUUCCGAAUGGGGAAACCCAGUGUGAUUCGUCACACUAUCAUUAACUGAAUCCAUAGGUUAAUGAGGCGAACCGGGGGAACUGAAACAUCUAAGUACCCCGAGGAAAAGAAAUCAACCGAGAUUCCCCCAGUAGCGGCGAGCGAACGGGGAGGAGCCCAGAGCCUGAAUCAGUGUGUGUGUUAGUGGAAGCGUCUGGAAAGGCGCGCGAUACAGGGUGACAGCCCCGUACACAAAAAUACACAUAUUGUGAGCUCGAUGAGUAGGGCGGGACACGUGGUAUCCUGUCUGAAUAUGGGGGGACCAUCCUCCAAGGCUAAAUACUCCUGACUGACCGAUAGUGAACCAGUACCGUGAGGGAAAGGCGAAAAGAACCCCGGCGAGGGGAGUGAAAAAGAACCUGAAACCGUGUACGUACAAGCAGUGGGAGCACGCUUAGGCGUGUGACUGCGUACCUUUUGUAUAAUGGGUCAGCGACUUAUAUUCUGUAGCAAGGUUAACCGAAUAGGGGAGCCGAAGGGAAACCGAGUCUUAACUGGGCGUUAAGUUGCAGGGUAUAGACCCGAAACCCGGUGAUCUAGCCAUGGGCAGGUUGAAGGUUGGGUAACACUAACUGGAGGACCGAACCGACUAAUGUUGAAAAAUUAGCGGAUGACUUGUGGCUGGGGGUGAAAGGCCAAUCAAACCGGGAGAUAGCUGGUUCUCCCCGAAAGCUAUUUAGGUAGCGCCUCGUGAAUUCAUCUCCGGGGGUAGAGCACUGUUUCGGCAAGGGGGUCAUCCCGACUUACCAACCCGAUGCAAACUGCGAAUACCGGAGAAUGUUAUCACGGGAGACACACGGCGGGUGCUAACGUCCGUCGUGAAGAGGGAAACAACCCAGACCGCCAGCUAAGGUCCCAAAGUCAUGGUUAAGUGGGAAACGAUGUGGGAAGGCCCAGACAGCCAGGAUGUUGGCUUAGAAGCAGCCAUCAUUUAAAGAAAGCGUAAUAGCUCACUGGUCGAGUCGGCCUGCGCGGAAGAUGUAACGGGGCUAAACCAUGCACCGAAGCUGCGGCAGCGACGCUUAUGCGUUGUUGGGUAGGGGAGCGUUCUGUAAGCCUGUGAAGGUGUGCUGUGAGGCAUGCUGGAGGUAUCAGAAGUGCGAAUGCUGACAUAAGUAACGAUAAAGCGGGUGAAAAGCCCGCUCGCCGGAAGACCAAGGGUUCCUGUCCAACGUUAAUCGGGGCAGGGUGAGUCGACCCCUAAGGCGAGGCCGAAAGGCGUAGUCGAUGGGAAACAGGUUAAUAUUCCUGUACUUGGUGUUACUGCGAAGGGGGGACGGAGAAGGCUAUGUUGGCCGGGCGACGGUUGUCCCGGUUUAAGCGUGUAGGCUGGUUUUCCAGGCAAAUCCGGAAAAUCAAGGCUGAGGCGUGAUGACGAGGCACUACGGUGCUGAAGCAACAAAUGCCCUGCUUCCAGGAAAAGCCUCUAAGCAUCAGGUAACAUCAAAUCGUACCCCAAACCGACACAGGUGGUCAGGUAGAGAAUACCAAGGCGCUUGAGAGAACUCGGGUGAAGGAACUAGGCAAAAUGGUGCCGUAACUUCGGGAGAAGGCACGCUGAUAUGUAGGUGAAGUCCCUUGCGGAUGGAGCUGAAAUCAGUCGAAGAUACCAGCUGGCUGCAACUGUUUAUUAAAAACACAGCACUGUGCAAACACGAAAGUGGACGUAUACGGUGUGACGCCUGCCCGGUGCCGGAAGGUUAAUUGAUGGGGUCAGCGCAAGCGAAGCUCUUGAUCGAAGCCCCGGUAAACGGCGGCCGUAACUAUAACGGUCCUAAGGUAGCGAAAUUCCUUGUCGGGUAAGUUCCGACCUGCACGAAUGGCGUAAUGAUGGCCAGGCUGUCUCCACCCGAGACUCAGUGAAAUUGAACUCGCUGUGAAGAUGCAGUGUACCCGCGGCAAGACGGAAAGACCCCGUGAACCUUUACUAUAGCUUGACACUGAACAUUGAGCCUUGAUGUGUAGGAUAGGUGGGAGGCUUGGAAGUGUGGACGCCAGUCUGCAUGGAGCCGACCUUGAAAUACCACCCUUUAAUGUUUGAUGUUCUAACGUUGACCCGUAAUCCGGGUUGCGGACAGUGUCUGGUGGGUAGUUUGACUGGGGCGGUCUCCUCCUAAAGAGUAACGGAGGAGCACGAAGGUUGGCUAAUCCUGGUCGGACAUCAGGAGGUUAGUGCAAUGGCAUAAGCCAGCUUGACUGCGAGCGUGACGGCGCGAGCAGGUGCGAAAGCAGGUCAUAGUGAUCCGGUGGUUCUGAAUGGAAGGGCCAUCGCUCAACGGAUAAAAGGUACUCCGGGGAUAACAGGCUGAUACCGCCCAAGAGUUCAUAUCGACGGCGGUGUUUGGCACCUCGAUGUCGGCUCAUCACAUCCUGGGGCUGAAGUAGGUCCCAAGGGUAUGGCUGUUCGCCAUUUAAAGUGGUACGCGAGCUGGGUUUAGAACGUCGUGAGACAGUUCGGUCCCUAUCUGCCGUGGGCGCUGGAGAACUGAGGGGGGCUGCUCCUAGUACGAGAGGACCGGAGUGGACGCAUCACUGGUGUUCGGGUUGUCAUGCCAAUGGCACUGCCCGGUAGCUAAAUGCGGAAGAGAUAAGUGCUGAAAGCAUCUAAGCACGAAACUUGCCCCGAGAUGAGUUCUCCCUGACCCUUUAAGGGUCCUGAAGGAACGUUGAAGACGACGACGUUGAUAGGCCGGGUGUGUAAGCGCAGCGAUGCGUUGAGCUAACCGGUACUAAUGAACCGUGAGGCUUAACCUU
RNAcentral lists this ribosomal RNA (2904 nucleotides) under Escherichia coli. RNAcentral's name for it is "23S ribosomal RNA". It matches the Rfam family "Bacterial large subunit ribosomal RNA". The record is from RNAcentral. Lineage: Bacteria; Pseudomonadati; Pseudomonadota; Gammaproteobacteria; Enterobacterales; Enterobacteriaceae.